Long non-coding RNA from Cyclopterus lumpus (lumpfish), 575 nucleotides. RefSeq lists it as uncharacterized. The record is from RefSeq and is a predicted model, not a curated record. The transcript has 4 exons. Lineage: Eukaryota; Metazoa; Chordata; Actinopteri; Perciformes; Cyclopteridae.
CUCUUUUGUCUGCGUUUUGGCCAGGUCAUUGUCAGUGUCAACACCAAGUUGCUACUUCAUUUAUCAACAUUCCUGCGUUCCCAUCCACAUGGGAGCAGCCUGAGAAGCUUCCUGGAACAGCUGUGCGUAGGAUGGAGGGAUGCAUUAGAGAAUAGGGCGGAUGAGAGAGAGCAUGAGGAGAUGGAUUAGGUGAUAGAGAUUGGAAUCCACUGCUGUAACAUCAGAAGGAAGCGUUUUGUCCUUUUUCUAAUCGGUCAGCCAAUUACCCGAAACCCACGAAGACUAAUUAAUGAGCAGGACGGCGCCACGACUCCUGGCCUCCAGAAACCUUCCCAGUAGUCGCUCUGUGCUGCCCUGAUACACACGACAGCUGGAAUGCAGUGCCCACCUCCCCACCUGACACCUCCAAAGCCGUGCUUUUAAUAGAGCAAAAAGAACUGCUGGUCAUCUGGAACAAUAAAUAAAACUAUAAAUAUAUCACAUAUUCUUUCCUAACAAGAGAAUCAUGUUUAAAUACGUAGCUGGUGAUGUGUCUAAUUGACAGCUUUAAAAAAAAAAAAAAAAAAAUGCCAUGC